AUGAAGAUCUGCAAAGAAAAUAUAUCUAUUCCCUUUGACAACAGAGGAAAAUGCCUAGCACCAUCUGGGCCUACUGUGCACAGGGACCAGAGAGAAGGCCGAGCAGGCCUGACUGGUUGUUGCCCUCACAGAGAGCUGAAACCCAGCUCUGAGGAGCAACUUCAGGCCCAAGACGAGAGGCUCCAAGUGACCUGCCUCAUGGACUCAGAACACAUGCCCACAGAAACAGCUGAAGACCAGUAG
This is a long non-coding RNA of Rattus rattus (black rat), 243 nucleotides long. RefSeq lists it as uncharacterized. The transcript has 2 exons. NCBI's taxonomy places the organism in Eukaryota, Metazoa, Chordata, Mammalia, Rodentia, Muridae. The record is from RefSeq and is a predicted model, not a curated record.